UACUUCCUCAUAAUAUUGGGACUCUAAACAUCAGACGCUACAACUGUUUGACUCUUCACGUGGGCUGCGUGCCAACAUAUGAAGUGAUAAUGAAAGUGAGGCUUCAAUCCAACUUCUGUUGGAAAAGUGCCUUUGAAAGAGCGAGUAUGAAACAAAGCGCUGUGUGUCUCCUUGUGGUCCUUGUUUUGGUCAGCUGCCUCUGGAGCACGGAGGGUCGAUAUUUGCCAACUCGGUCUGACAACAGCCGGUACGAGCACAUCAAAGAAGUACUCAGAGCGUUGUUGGAUCUGAACGACAGUGAAGUUCAGGCCGGAAGACAAAACUACAUGUAUGAGGAUGUCUUGCGUUCGAAAAGGGAUGCUUUUAAACAGCACCCGUCCUCACCUUUGGAAUCUUAAAUCAUCGGAAAAGGCUAGUCCAUUUCAACAUUAUUAUUUUGUAGCUAGACAUGAAAGAGAGCAGAUCAUCUUCUCACUUUCAAAGACUUUAUUUCCUGCGUUCGUGCCAACUAACUCUCCGAUUAAAUUAUUAAUGAGUCCUCCUAUUUUGCUCAGAAGUUGGACCUUAUGCAUUUGAAAUCUGUUCAUUUCAUGUACAAUAUUAUGUUAUCAUUCAGUGAAUAAAAUCAUUUUAUUGGUGUCCUA
Molecule: RNA transcript, 644 nt
Organism: Argiope bruennichi
Lineage: Eukaryota; Metazoa; Arthropoda; Arachnida; Araneae; Araneidae
Exons: 4
Source: RefSeq, a predicted model, not a curated record